This 246-nucleotide ribosomal RNA is filed under the name uncultured Dietzia sp. RNAcentral's name for it is "partial 16S ribosomal RNA". It matches the Rfam family "Bacterial small subunit ribosomal RNA", at positions 92 to 339 of the family's 1533-position model. Lineage: Bacteria; Bacillati; Actinomycetota; Actinomycetes; Mycobacteriales; Dietziaceae. The record is from RNAcentral.
CGAGUGGCGAACGGGUGAGUAACACGUGGGUAAUCUGCCCUGCACUUCGGGAUAAGCCUGGGAAACUGGGUCUAAUACCGGAUAUUCAGCUUCUGCCGCAUGGUGGUGGUUGGAAAGUUUUUCGGUGCAGGAUGAGCCCGCGGCCUAUCAGCUUGUUGGUGGGGUAAUGGCCUACCAAGGCGACGACGGGUAGCCGGCCUGAGAGGGUGAUCGGCCACACUGGGACUGAGACACGGCCCAGACUCC